Molecule: small nucleolar RNA, 107 nt
Organism: Lathyrus oleraceus (garden pea)
Lineage: Eukaryota; Viridiplantae; Streptophyta; Magnoliopsida; Fabales; Fabaceae
Source: RefSeq, a predicted model, not a curated record
AUUCUAGGAUGGGGACAUUGUCUCAAUAGAUCUUUAAACCUUUCCCAAGCAUCGAAUACAAAUUUAUCUCCCCUUUUCCUAAAAUAAGUGAUUUCAUUCCUCAUUUU